GAUGAACGCUGGCGGCGUGCCUAAUACAUGCAAGUCGAGCGAAUGGAUUAAGAGCUUGCUCUUAUGAAGUUAGCGGCGGACGGGUGAGUAACACGUGGGUAACCUGCCCAUAAGACUGGGAUAACUCCGGGAAACCGGGGCUAAUACCGGAUAACAUUUUGAACCGCAUGGUUCGAAAUUGAAAGGCGGCUUCGGCUGUCACUUAUGGAUGGACCCGCGGCGCAUUAGCUAGUUGGUGAGGUAACGGCUCACAAAGGCAACGAUGCGUAGCCGCCCUGAGAGGGGGAUCGGCCACACUGGGACUGAGACACGGCCCAGACUCCAACGGGAGGCAGCAGUAGGGAAUCUUCCGCAAUGGACGAAAGUCUGACGGAGCAACGCCGCGUGAGUGAUGAAGGCUUUCGGGUCGUAAAACUCUGUUGUUAGGGAAGAACAAGUGCUAGUUGAAUAAGCUGGCACCUUGACGGUACCUAACCAGAAAGCCACGGCUAACUACGUGCCAGCAGCCGCCGUAA
Molecule: ribosomal RNA, 515 nt
Filed under: uncultured bacterium
Lineage: Bacteria
Description: partial 16S ribosomal RNA
Rfam family: Bacterial small subunit ribosomal RNA
Source: RNAcentral